GACGAACGCUGGCGGCGUGCCUAAUACAUGCAAGUCGAGCGAGUCUGCCUUGAAGAUCGGAGUGCUUGCACCCUGUGAAACAAGAUACAGGCUAGCGGCGGACGGGUGAGUAACACGUGGGUAACCUGCCCAAGAGAUCGGGAUAACACCUGGAAACAGAUGCUAAUACCGGAUAACAACAGAUGAUGCCUAUCAACUGUUUAAAAGAUGGUUCUGCUAUCACUCUUGGAUGGACCUGCGGUGCAUUAGCUAGUUGGUAGGGUAACGGCCUACCAAGGCGAUGAUGCAUAGCCGAGUUGGGAGACUGAUCGGCCACAUUGGGACUGAGACACGGCCCAAACUCCUACGGGAGGCAGCAGUAGGGAAUCUUACACAAUGGACGCAAGUCUGAUGGAGCAACGCCGCGUGAGUGAAGAAGGGUUUCGGCUCGUAAAGCUCUGUUGUUGGUGAAGAAGGACAGGGGUAGUAACUGACCUUUGUUUGACGGUAAUCAAUUAGAAAGUCACGGCUAACUACGUG
Molecule: ribosomal RNA, 519 nt
Filed under: uncultured bacterium
Lineage: Bacteria
Description: partial 16S ribosomal RNA
Rfam family: Bacterial small subunit ribosomal RNA
Source: RNAcentral